CCCCAGACUCCUACGGGAGGCAGCAGUGGGGAAUAUUGCACAAUGGGGGAAACCCUGAUGCAGCGACGCCGCGUGAGUGAAGAAGUAUUUCGGUAUGUAAAGCUCUAUCAGCAGGGAAGAAAAUGACGGUACCUGACUAAGAAGCCCCGGCUAACUACGUGCCAGCAGCCGCGGUAAUACGUAGGGGGCAAGCGUUAUCCGGAUUUACUGGGUGUAAAGGGAGCGUAGACGGCAUGGCAAGUCAGAUGUGAAAGCCCGGGGCUCAACCCCGGGACUGCAUUUGAAACUGUCAGGCUGGAGUGCAGGAGAGGUAAGUGGAAUUCCUAGUGUAGCGGUGAAAUGCGUAGAUAUUAGGAGGAACACCAGUGGCGAAGGCGGCUUACUGGACUGUAACUGACGUUGAGGCUCGAAAGCGUGGGGAGCAAACAGGAUUAGAUACCCCCGUA
This 446-nucleotide ribosomal RNA is filed under the name uncultured bacterium. RNAcentral describes it as "bacterial SSU rRNA". It matches the Rfam family "Bacterial small subunit ribosomal RNA", at positions 329 to 792 of the family's 1533-position model. The record is from RNAcentral.